CGCGUAAUCUGGCAAAUGGCAGACGGUCACGACGGGUAUUUGUAACUUAUAGUGGGUCGU
RNAcentral lists this unclassified non-coding RNA (60 nucleotides) under synthetic construct. The record is from RNAcentral.